RNAcentral lists this ribosomal RNA (503 nucleotides) under uncultured bacterium. RNAcentral's name for it is "bacterial SSU rRNA". It matches the Rfam family "Bacterial small subunit ribosomal RNA", at positions 1 to 507 of the family's 1533-position model. The record is from RNAcentral.
CGACUACGAGUUUGAUCAUGGCUCAGAAUGAACGCUGGCGGCGUGGUUAACACAUGCAAGUCGAACGAGUAGCUACUUCGGUAGCGAGAGUGGCGGACGGGUGAGUAACGCGUAGGAAUCUGCCUGUUAGUGGGGGACAACGUGGGGAAACUCACGCUAAUACCGCAUACGCCCUACGGGGGAAAGGAGGGGAUCUUCGGACCUUUCGCUAACAGAUGAGCCUGCGUUAGAUUAGCUAGUUGGUGGGGUAAAGGCCUACCAAGGCGACGAUCUAUAGCUGUUCUGAGAGGAAGAUCAGCCACACUGGGACUGAGACACGGCCCAGACUCCUACGGGAGGCAGCAGUGGGGAAUAUUGGACAAUGGGCGCAAGCCUGAUCCAGCAAUACCGCGUGUGUGAAGAAGGCCCUAGGGUUGUAAAGCACUUUCAAUGGGGAGGAAAAGAGUGGGCAAAUACCCUGCUUAUUGACAUUACCCAUACAAGAAGCACCGGCUAACUCCGUG